CUACGGGCGGCUCCAGUAAGGAAUAUUGCGCAAUGGAGGCAACUCUGACGCAGCCAUGCCGCGUGCAGGAAGAAGGCCUUAUGGGUCGUAAACUGCUUUUAUUUAGGAAUAAACCCCCGAACGUGUUCGGGGCUGAAGGUACUAAACGAAUAAGCACCGGCUAACUCCGUGCCAGCAGCCGCGGUAAUACGGAGGGUGCAAGCGUUAUCCGGAUUUAUUGGGUUUAAAGGGUGCGCAGGCGGGCUAUUAAGUCAGUGGUGAAAUCCCGGGGCUCAACUCCGGAACUGCCAUUGAUACUGAUAGUCUUGAGUUUGGUUGAAGUGGGCGGAAUGUAGCAUGUAGCGGUGAAAUGCAUAGAUAUGCUACAGAACACCAAUCGCGAAGGCAGCUCACUAAGCCAAAACUGACACUCAUGCACGAAAGCGUGGGGAUCAAACAGGAUUAGAUACCCGGGUAGUC
RNAcentral lists this ribosomal RNA (459 nucleotides) under uncultured bacterium. RNAcentral's name for it is "partial 16S ribosomal RNA". It matches the Rfam family "Bacterial small subunit ribosomal RNA", at positions 339 to 795 of the family's 1533-position model. The record is from RNAcentral.